GUCCCCUUAGCUCAGCUGGAUAGAGCAUGAGCCUUCUAAGCCCAGGGUCGGGAGUUCGAAUCUCUCAGGGGACGCCA
Molecule: transfer RNA, 77 nt
Filed under: Erysipelothrix sp.
Lineage: Bacteria; Bacillati; Bacillota; Erysipelotrichia; Erysipelotrichales; Erysipelotrichaceae
Description: tRNA-Arg
Rfam family: tRNA
About the family: Transfer RNA (tRNA) molecules are approximately 80 nucleotides in length. Their secondary structure includes four short double-helical elements and three loops (D, anti-codon, and T loops).
Source: RNAcentral